ACUCAGCGAAAUUGAAUUACCUGUCAAGAUGCAGGUUUCCCGCGGUUAGACGGAAAGACCCCGUGCACCUUUACUAUACCUAAACAUUGAAGAACUCACGAUCAUGUGUAGCAUAAGUGGGAGUUGACGAUCCCUUUGCGCAAGCAAAUUGGGGAGACCAAAGUGAAAUACCACUCUUGAUCUUGAGAACUUCUCACCUCAGGACAGUGUUUAGCGGGUAGUUUGACUGGGGCGGUCGCCUCCUAAAGCGUAACGGAGGCGCGCGAAGGUUGGCUCAGAGCGGUCGGAAAUCGCUCGUUGAGUGCAAUGGCAGAAGCCAGCCUGACUGCGAGACUGACAAGUCGAGCAGAGUCGAAAGACGGCCAUAGUGAUCCGGUGGUCCCAAGUGGGAGGGCCAUCGCUCAACGGAUAAAA
This 414-nucleotide ribosomal RNA is filed under the name Heterosigma akashiwo. RNAcentral's name for it is "partial Bacterial large subunit ribosomal RNA". It matches the Rfam family "Bacterial large subunit ribosomal RNA", at positions 2031 to 2461 of the family's 2925-position model. Lineage: Eukaryota; Raphidophyceae; Chattonellales; Chattonellaceae. The record is from RNAcentral.